UAAUAGUGUAUAUUAAAGUUGUUGCAGUUAAAAAGCUCGUAGUUGAAUGUUGGUGUCGAGCGAGCGGUCAGCUUCGGCUGUACUGCUCUCUCGACUCCUUCCUUCUGUGGACUACGUCGCACUUUACUGUGUGGCGCUAGGACGCAGAUCGUUUACUGUGAAAAAAUUAGAGUGUUCAAAGCAGGCCGUACGCUUGAAUACAUUAGCAUGGAAUAAUGGAAUAGGACGUCGGGCCUAUUUUGUUGGUUCUAGGACCGUCGUAAUGAUUAAUAGGGACAGUUGGGGCCGUUUAUAUUCCGUAGUCAGAGGUGAAAUUCUUGGAUUUACGGAAGAUAAACUACUGCGAAAGCAUUCGGCAAGGAUGUUUUCGUUAA
Molecule: ribosomal RNA, 374 nt
Filed under: uncultured eukaryote
Lineage: Eukaryota
Description: partial 18S ribosomal RNA
Rfam family: Eukaryotic small subunit ribosomal RNA
Source: RNAcentral